RNAcentral lists this long non-coding RNA (1193 nucleotides) under Pan troglodytes (chimpanzee). Its description in RNAcentral is "long non-coding RNA NONPTRT010901". Lineage: Eukaryota; Metazoa; Chordata; Mammalia; Primates; Hominidae. The record is from RNAcentral.
CUGGGGAGGAGUUACUUACAAGGAUUCUGGGGAGGUUGUUAGCAGCCCACUUUCCACUUCAGUGGAAAGAGCAUUGGAUUCCAUGCAUCUCCUAGCUGCAUGACAGGGCAAGAAAAGGAAAAAGAGGAGAGGACUAGUUUUAGUUGAAUAUUAUACAUACCACAAGUUAGAUGUUGUGUUAGGUGCAGGGAAAUAAAAAUCACUAAGGCAGAAUUUGUACUUGCAAGGAGUUCUCGGUCUCGAGGCAAGCAUGGAAUCAGAAAUGGCAAGUGGUGGUCAUUUUGUUUGCUGACUGGAUUGCUGUGAUGAGUGUUUUCUGCGGGGAGGAAGGGAUGGAUGUCAUUUGCUAUGUCUGGAUCUAAAUAAACAAUACCAUGAUUUCCACUGCUCAGGAGAGCUGUAUGUGGUGCCCUGUGGAUGGUGCAGGUGAGACGUCCAAAGACAGCAUCGCUCACACUGCUCAGGAUGGAUGAGGUACUGAAGGAGGCCAGAUUGGAGGAGCCAGCCUGGGCAGGGCUGUGGCUGCUUCAGGGCAAGCCAUUAAAAAUGUGAAAAGGAUUCUUAGCUCACGGACUGUACGAAAACAGAAUUCUAUGGGCCAGUUUGCUAACCUUUGCCUUCCUAUCACCUCUCCUAUCACAUUCUAAGAUGAGCGGUGCUGUGGGAUGAGGUCACCCUGCCUAGAGAUUCUUUUGUAUGGCCUGGUAGUUUAUCUACUUUUUUUUUUUGAGAUAGGGUCUUGCUCUGUCAUCCAGGCUGGAGUGCCAUGAGUGGUGUGAUCUUGGUUCAGUGCAGCCUCUUCUUCCCAGGUUCAAGUGAUUCUCCCACCUUAGCCUCCCUAGUAGCUGGGAUUACAGGCACCCAGCAUCAUGCCCAGCGACUUUUUUUUUUUUUUUUUUUUUUUUGUAUUUUUGUAGAGACAGGGUUUCACCACAUUGGCCAGGCUGGUCUUGAACCCCUGACCUCAGGUGAUCCACCUCCCUCGGCCUCCCAAACUGCUGAGAUUACAGGCAUGAGCCACCGUGCCUGGCCUAUCCAUUUCUUUAGUCAAAUGCUUACUGAGGACCUACUGUGUGUUAGGGGCUGCUCCCGGUACUGGGAAUUCAGAAAUGAAUGAGGCAAGUGCCUGCCCUCAAAUGACUUACGUUCCCCUGGCCAUGGCAGGAAGAUUUAAGGAGUGGAGACAAGAUUUG